GACGAACGCUGGCGGCGUGCUUAACACAUGCAAGUCGAGCGGUAAGGCCCUUUCGGGGGUACACGAGCGGCGAACGGGUGAGUAACACGUGGGUGACCUGCCCUCAGCUCUGGGAUAAGCCCGGGAAACUGGGUCUAAUACCGGAUAUGACUCCAUGACGCAUGUUGUGGGGUGGAAAGCCUUGUGCGGCUGAGGAUGGGCCCGCGGCCUAUCAGCUUGUUGGUGGGGUGAUGGCCUACCAAGGCGACGACGGGUAGCCGGCCUGAGAGGGCGACCGGCCACACUGGGGACUGAGACACGGCCCAGACUCCUACGGGAGGCAGCAGUGGGGAAUCUUGCGCAAUGGGCGAAAGCCUGACGCAGCGACGCCGCGUGAGGGAUGACGG
RNAcentral lists this ribosomal RNA (386 nucleotides) under uncultured bacterium. Its description in RNAcentral is "bacterial SSU rRNA". It matches the Rfam family "Bacterial small subunit ribosomal RNA", at positions 28 to 414 of the family's 1533-position model. The record is from RNAcentral.